UGGGGAAUUUUGGACAAUGGGGGAAACCCUGAUCCAGCCAUCCCGCGUGUGCGAUGAAGGCCUUCGGGUUGUAAAGCACUUUUGGCAGGAAAGAAACGUCGCGGGUUAAUACCCCGCGAAACUGACGGUACCUGCAGAAUAAGCACCGGCUAACUACGUGCCAGCAGCCGCGGUAAUACGUAGGGUGCAAGCGUUAAUCGGAAUUACUGGGCGUAAAGCGUGCGCAGGCGGUUCGGAAAGAAAGAUGUGAAAUCCCAGAGCUUAACUUUGGAACUGCAUUUUUAACUACCGGGCUAGAGUGUGUCGGAGGGAGGUGGAAUUCCGCGUGUAGCAGUGAAAUGCGUAGAUAUGCGGAGGAACACCGAUGGCGAAGGCAGCCUCCUGGGAUAACACUGACGCUCAUGCACGAAAGCGUGGGGAGCAAACAGGAUUAGAUACCCUGGUAGUCCACGCCCUAAACGAUGUCAACUAGCUGUUGGGGGCCUUCGGGCCUUGGUAGCGCAGCUAACGCGUGAAGUUGACCGCCUGGGGAGUACGGUCGCAAGAUU
Molecule: ribosomal RNA, 548 nt
Filed under: uncultured bacterium
Lineage: Bacteria
Description: partial 16S ribosomal RNA
Rfam family: Bacterial small subunit ribosomal RNA
Source: RNAcentral